UCGGUGAAACGUUUUAACAGCUGCGGUAUUUUAACUGUACUAAGGUAGCAUAAUAAUUUGCCUUAUAAUUUGAGGCUAGAAUGAAUGGUUUGACGAAGGUUAAUCUGUCUCCACUUUAUUUUUUAGAAAUUAAUUUUCAUAGUGAAAAAGCUUGAAUUUUUUAAGGGGACGAGAAGACCCUACUGAGCUUAUAAUUUUAUUAAAACAUAUAUUCAUAUAUAUUGUGUUAUAUAAAUUUUAAUUGGGGUGAUUAAGGAAUAAUAUUAUUAUAUAUGUAACUUCCUUAGAAAUAUUAUAUUGUUGAAUAAAGUAACCGAUAAAUUAAUAUAAUUAUUAUGUAUUGCUUAUAAUAUAGUUACCAUAGGGAUAACAGCGUAAUUUACUUAGAGAGUUCUUAUUGAAAAGUAAGAUUGCGACCUCGAUGUUGGAUUAAAGUAACCUUAAGGUGCAGAAGCUUUAUGGGGUAAAUCUGUUCGAUUUU
RNAcentral lists this ribosomal RNA (481 nucleotides) under Uroteuthis sp. 3N JATM-2019. Its description in RNAcentral is "partial 16S ribosomal RNA". It matches the Rfam family "Bacterial large subunit ribosomal RNA", at positions 1863 to 2588 of the family's 2925-position model. The record is from RNAcentral. Lineage: Eukaryota; Metazoa; Mollusca; Cephalopoda; Myopsida; Loliginidae.